UUUAGUAGGGAGAAGCGAAAGUGACGGUACCUGCAGAAAAGCACCGCUAACUACGUGCCAGCAGCCGCGGUAUACGUAGGGUGCAAGCGUUUCCGGAAUUAUUGGGCGUAAAGAGCUCGUAGGCGGCUUGUCGCGUCUGCUGUGAAAACCAGAGGCUCAACCUCUGGCUUGCAGUGGGUACGGGCAAGCUAGAGUGCGGUAGGGGAGAUUGGAAUUCCUGGUGUAGCGGUGGAAUGCGCAGAUAUCAGGAGGAACACCGAUGGCGAAGGCAGAUCUCUGGGCCGUAACUGACGCUGAGGAGCGAAAGCAUGGGGAGCGAACAGGAUUAGAUACCCUGGUAGUCCAUGCCGUAAACGUUGGGAACUAGAUGUAGGGCCUGUUCCACGGGUUCUGUGUCGUAGCUAACGCAUUAAGUUCCCCGCCUGGGGAGUACGGCCGCAAGGCUAAAACUCAAAGGAAUUGACGGGGGCCCGCACAAGCGGCGGAGCAUGCGGAUUAAUUCGAUGCAACGCGAAGAACCUUACCAAGGCUUGACAUAUACGAGAACACUGUAGAGAUACAGGACUCUUUGGACACUCGUAAACAGGUGGUGCAUGGUUGUCGUCAGCUCGUGUCGUGAGAUGUUCGGUUAAGUCCGGCAACGAGCGCAACCCUCGUCCUAUGUUGCCAGCACGUAAUGGUGGGAACUCAUGGGAUACUGCCGUGGUCAACACGGAGGAAGGUGGGGAUGACGUCAAAUCAUCAUGCCCCUUAUGUCUUGGGCUUCACGCAUGCUACAAUGGCCGAUACAAAGGGCUGCGAUACCGCGAGGUGGAGCGAAUCCCAAAAAGUCGGUCUCAGUUCGGAUUGGGGUCUGCAACUCGACCCCAUGAAGUCGGAGUCGCUAGUAAUCGCAGAUCAGCAACGCUGCGGUGAAUACGUUCCCGGGCCUUGUACACACCGCCCGUCAAGUCAUGAAAGUCGGUAACACCCGAAGCCGG
This 980-nucleotide ribosomal RNA is filed under the name Leucobacter alluvii. Its description in RNAcentral is "bacterial SSU rRNA". It matches the Rfam family "Bacterial small subunit ribosomal RNA", at positions 434 to 1430 of the family's 1533-position model. The record is from RNAcentral. Lineage: Bacteria; Bacillati; Actinomycetota; Actinomycetes; Micrococcales; Microbacteriaceae.